This 729-nucleotide ribosomal RNA is filed under the name uncultured eukaryote. RNAcentral describes it as "SSU rRNA". It matches the Rfam family "Eukaryotic small subunit ribosomal RNA", at positions 670 to 1426 of the family's 1831-position model. The record is from RNAcentral.
CGGGUGCACUGAUCCGGCCGGGCCUUUCCCUCUGUGGAACCCCAUGGCCUUCACUGGCUGUGCGGGGGAAACAGGACUUUUACUGUGAAAAAAUUAGAGUGCUCCAGGCAGGCCUAUGCUCGAAUACAUUAGCAUGGAAUAAUAGAAUAGGACGCGUGGUUCUAUUUUGUUGGUUUCUAGGACCGCCGUAAUGAUUAAUAGGGACAGUCGGGGGCAUCAGUAUUCAAUUGUCAGAGGUGAAAUUCUUGGAUCUAUUGAAGACUAACUACUGCGAAAGCAUUUGCCAAGGAUGUUUUCAUUGAUAAGGAACGAAAGUUAGGGGAUCGAAGACGAUCAGAUACCGUCGUAGUCUUAACUAUAAACUAUGCCGACUAGGGAUCGGACGAUGUUAUUUCUUGACGCGUUCGGCACCUUUCGAGAAAUCAAAGUGCUUGGGCUCCAGGGGGAGUAUGGUCGCAAGGCUGAAACUUAAAGAAAUUGACGGAAGGGCACCACCAGGGGUGGAACCUGCGGCUUAAUUUGACUCAACACGGGGAAACUCACCAGGUCCAGACACAACGAGGAUUGACAGAUUGAGAGCUCUUUCUUGAUUUUGUGGGUGGUGGUGCAUGGCCGUUCUUAGUUGGUGGAGUGAUUUGUCUGCUUAAUUGCGAUAACGAACGAGACCUUAACCUGCUAAAUAGCCCGUACUGCUCUGGCAGUUCGCCGGCUUCUUAGAGGGACUAUCGG